Molecule: ribosomal RNA, 512 nt
Filed under: uncultured bacterium
Lineage: Bacteria
Description: partial 16S ribosomal RNA
Rfam family: Bacterial small subunit ribosomal RNA
Source: RNAcentral
GAUGAACGCUGGCGGCGUGCCUAAUACAUGCAAGUCGAACGAAACUUCUUUAUCACCGAGUGCUUGCACUCACCGAUAAAGAGUUGAGUGGCGAACGGGUGAGUAACACGUGGGCAACCUGCCCAAAAGAGGGGGAUAACACUUGGAAACAGGUGCUAAUACCGCAUAACCAUAGUUACCGCAUGGUAACUAUGUAAAAGGUGGCUAUACUACCGCUUUUGGAUGGGCCCGCGGCGCAUUAGCUAGUUGGUAGGGUAAAGGCUUACCAAGGCAAUGAUGCGUAGCCGAAUUGAGAGGUUGAUCGGCCACAUUGGGACUGAGACACGGCCCAAACUCCUACGGGAGGCAGCAGUAGGGAAUCUUCCACAAUGGGCGAAAGCCUGAUGGAGUAACGCCGCGUGGGUGAAGAAGGUCUUCGGAUCGUAAAACCCUGUUGUUAGAGAAGAAAGUGCGUGAGAGUAACUGUUCACGUUUCGACGGUAUCUAACCAGAAAGCCACGGCUAACUACGUG